AUACGGAGGGUGCAAGCGUUAUCCGGAUUUAUUGGGUUUAAAGGGUGCGCAGGUGGGAAUGUAAGUCAGUGGUGAAAUUCUGCCGCUCAACGGUAGGACUGCCAUUGAUACUGCGUUUCUUGAGUAUGGUUGAGGUAGGCGGAAUGUGUCGUGUAGCGGUGAAAUGCAUAGAUAUGACACGGAACGCCGAUUGCGAAGGCAGCUUACUAAGCCAUUACUGACACUGAGGCACGAAAGCGUGGGUAGCGAACAGGAUUAGAUACCCUGGUAGUCCACGCCGUAAACGAUGUUCACUCGCUGUUUGCGAUACACAGCAAGCGGCCGAGCGAAAGCAUUAAGUGAACCACCUGGGGAGUACGAUCGCAAGGUUGAA
RNAcentral lists this ribosomal RNA (373 nucleotides) under uncultured bacterium. RNAcentral's name for it is "bacterial SSU rRNA". It matches the Rfam family "Bacterial small subunit ribosomal RNA", at positions 523 to 898 of the family's 1533-position model. The record is from RNAcentral.